GGCCUUNCGGGUUGUAAACCUCUUUCACCAGGGACGAAGCGUGAGUGACGGUACCUGGAGAAGAAGCACCGGCCAACUACGUGCCAGCAGCCGCGGUAAUACGUAGGGUGCGAGCGUUGUCCGGAAUUACUGGGCGUAAAGAGCUCGUAGGCGGUUUGUCGCGUCGUCUGUGAAAUUCUGCAACUCAAUUGCAGGCNUGCAGGCGAUACGGGCAAACUUGAGUACUACAGGGGAGACUGGAAUUCCUGGUGUAGCGGUGAAAUGCGCAGAUAUCANGAGGAACACCGGUGGCGAAGGCGGGUCUCUGGGUAGUAACUGACGCUGAGGAGCGAAAGCGUGGGUAGCGAACAGGAUUAGAUACCCUGGUAGUCCACGCCGUAAACGGUGGGUACUAGGUGUGGGUUCCUUUUCACGGGAUCCGUGCCGUACCUAACGCAUUAAGUACCCCGCC
RNAcentral lists this ribosomal RNA (451 nucleotides) under uncultured bacterium. RNAcentral describes it as "bacterial SSU rRNA". It matches the Rfam family "Bacterial small subunit ribosomal RNA", at positions 413 to 873 of the family's 1533-position model. The record is from RNAcentral.